RNAcentral lists this ribosomal RNA (252 nucleotides) under uncultured bacterium. Its description in RNAcentral is "partial 16S ribosomal RNA". It matches the Rfam family "Bacterial small subunit ribosomal RNA", at positions 524 to 776 of the family's 1533-position model. The record is from RNAcentral.
UACGGGGGGUGCAAGCGUUGUCCGGAUUUACUGGGCGUAAAGGGCGCGUAGGCGGUUGUAUCAGUCGGGCUUAUAAGUGCGGGGCUCAACCCCGUGAUGGGUUCGGGACGGUAUGACUGGGGCGCGGUCGAGGGAGACGGAAUGCCGGGUGUAGCGGUGAAAUGCGUAGAUAUCGGGAGGAACACCUGUGGCGAAGGCGGCCCCCUGGUUGGAUACUGACGCUGAUACGCGAAAGCGUGGGGAGCAAACAGG